RNAcentral lists this long non-coding RNA (584 nucleotides) under Marmota monax (woodchuck). Lineage: Eukaryota; Metazoa; Chordata; Mammalia; Rodentia; Sciuridae. The record is from RNAcentral.
CAGAGGGAUAAAGUUACAUGUUGACAUUUGAUGUAGCAAGGCACAGUGGCACAUGCCUGUAAUUCCAGUAACUUUGGAGGCUGAGACAGGAGGAUCCCAAAUUUGAAGACAGCCUUACCAACUAAAUGAGGACUUAAGCAAUGUAGGAAGAACCUGUCUCAAAAUAAAAAAUAAAAAAGGACUGAGGAGGGCUGGGGGAUGUGUCUUAGUUGAUAUAGUGCUUGCCUUGCAUGUACAAGGCCCUGGGUUUGAUCUCCAGCAUCACAUACACAGAAAAUAAUCAUAAGGGUGGAGCUUCCACAAGCAUGGAUCACUUAGUCACUGCAUGGAGAAAAGUUGCCCUGCCUAUGUCAGAAAUUGUAUUUUGUUAAGCCAUUGCUGUGUCAGCCCAGUGCCCACCCCCUACCCUUUUUCUGGUACUUGGGAUUGAAACCAGAGGGGCACUUAACCACUGAGCCACAUCCCCAGCCCAUUUUUAUUUAUUUAUUUAUUUGAUACUGGGGAUUGAACUCAGGGGCACUCAACCACUGAGCCACAUCCCCAACCCUAUUUUGUAUUUUAUUUAGAGACAGGGUCUCACUGAG